This 253-nucleotide ribosomal RNA is filed under the name uncultured bacterium. RNAcentral describes it as "partial 16S ribosomal RNA". It matches the Rfam family "Bacterial small subunit ribosomal RNA", at positions 15 to 257 of the family's 1533-position model. The record is from RNAcentral.
GAUUCUGGCUCAGGAUUAACGCUGGCGGCGCACAUAAGACAUGCAAGUCGAACGGACUUAAUCGAUUCUUUUAGAUUCGAAGCGGUUAGUGGCGGACUGGUGAGUAACACGUAAGGAACCUGCCUAUUAGAGGGGGAAUAACAACGAGAAAUCGUUGCUAAUACCGCAUAAGCUAGUAGUACCGCAUGGUACAGCUAGAAAAGGAGAAAUCCGCUAAUAGAUGGCCUUGCGUCCGAUUAGCUAGUUGGUGGGG